RNAcentral lists this ribosomal RNA (440 nucleotides) under uncultured bacterium. RNAcentral's name for it is "partial 16S ribosomal RNA". It matches the Rfam family "Bacterial small subunit ribosomal RNA", at positions 338 to 795 of the family's 1533-position model. The record is from RNAcentral.
CCUACGGGAGGCAGCAGUGGGGAAUAUUGCACAAUGGGGGAAACCCUGAUGCAGCGACGCCGCGUGAGCGAUGAAGUAUUUCGGUAUGUAAAGCUCUAUCAGCAGGGAAGAAAAUGACGGUACCUGACUAAGAAGCCCUGGCUAACUACGUUCCAGCAGCCGCGGUAAUCCGUAGGGGGCAAGCGUCAUCCGGAUUGACUGGGUGUAAAGGGAGCGUAGACGGGGGUGCAAGCCAGAUGUGAAAGCCCGGGGCUCAACCCCAGGACUGCAUUUGGAACUGUGCAGCUAGAGUGUCGGAGAGGCAGGCGGAAUUCCUAGUGUAGCGGUGAAAUGCGUAGAUAUUAGGAGGAACACCAGUGGCGAAGGCAGCCUGCUGGACGAUGACUGACGUUGAGGCUCGAAAGCGUGGGGAGCAAACAGGAUUAGAUACCCUUGUAGUC